AACCUGGGACAAUGUUCGCAAUCGUGUUCCAGCCAUGCCGUUAUAUUGAAUAAUACCUUCUGUAUGUAAAGCACGUUUUGACGGAAAGAAAUCGCCCAGGCCAAUACCCUGCGCUGAUGACGGUACCGUCAUAAGAAUCACCGGCUAACUACAUGCCAGCAGCCGCGCUAAUACGUAUGGUGCGAGGGUUAAUCGGAAUUACUGGGCGUAAAGCGUGCGCAGGCGGUUGAUUAAGACAGGCGUGAAAUCCCCGGGCUUAACCUGGGAACUGCGCUUGUGACUGGUCAGCUAGAGUACGGCAGAGGGGAGUGGAAUUCCACGUGUAGCAGUGAAAUGCGUAGAGAUGUGGAGGAACACCGAUGGCGAAGGCAGCCCCCUGGGCCGAUACUGACGCUCAUGCACGAAAGCGUGGGUAGCAAACAGG
This 424-nucleotide ribosomal RNA is filed under the name uncultured bacterium. RNAcentral's name for it is "partial 16S ribosomal RNA". It matches the Rfam family "Bacterial small subunit ribosomal RNA", at positions 360 to 776 of the family's 1533-position model. The record is from RNAcentral.